GACGAACGCUGGCGGCGUGCUUAACACAUGCCAGUCGAACGGAAAGGCCCUGCUUUUGUGGGGUGCUCGAGUGGCGAACGGGUGAGUAACACGUGAGUAACCUGCCCUUGACUUUGGGAUAACUUCAGGAAACUGGGGCUAAUACCGGAUAGGAGCUCCUGCUGCAUGGUGGGGGUUGGAAAGUUUCGGCGGUUGGGGAUGGACUCGCGGCUUAUCAGCUUGUUGGUGGGGUAGUGGCUUACCAAGGCUUUGACGGGUAGCCGGCCUGAGAGGGUGACCGGCCACAUUGGGACUGAGAUACGGCCCAGACUCCUACGGGAGGCAGCAGUGGGGAAUAGUGCACAAUGGGCGGAAGCCUGAUGCAGCAACGCCGCGUGCGGGAUGACGGCCUUCGGGUUGUAAACCGCUUUCGCCUGUGACGAAGCGUGAGUGACGGUAAUAUGUAAAGAAGCACCGGCUAACUACGUG
This 468-nucleotide ribosomal RNA is filed under the name uncultured bacterium. Its description in RNAcentral is "partial 16S ribosomal RNA". It matches the Rfam family "Bacterial small subunit ribosomal RNA", at positions 28 to 507 of the family's 1533-position model. The record is from RNAcentral.